UACGUAGGGUGCGAGCGUUAAUCGGAUUUACUGGGCGUAAAGCGUGCGCAGGCGGCCCGUUAAGACAGGUGUGAAAUCCCUGGGCUCAACCUAGGAAUUGCGCUUGUGACUGGCGGGCUCGAGUACGGUAGAGGGGGGUGGAAUUCCUGGUGUAGCAGUGAAAUGCGUAGAUAUCGGGAGGAACACCAGUAGCGAAGGCGGCCAUCUGGCUGAUAACUGACGCUCAUGCACGAAAGCGUGGGGAGCAAACAGG
RNAcentral lists this ribosomal RNA (253 nucleotides) under uncultured microorganism. Its description in RNAcentral is "partial 16S ribosomal RNA". It matches the Rfam family "Bacterial small subunit ribosomal RNA", at positions 524 to 776 of the family's 1533-position model. The record is from RNAcentral.